GGGAUGAACUAUCAUGGCGGAGGAGAAACAAGUUAAUGCCAUGUUUCGUAGGCAUGAACAAUUAAAGCGGUGGGAGGAUUCUGAGACAAACAGAGAGCCAGGUUCACCUAAAUUAAAACCUAGAAAAGUUCAAUUUCAAGAUGGAUGUAUAUUUCUGGCAGCCUGUUCGAGUGGGGACCGAGAAGAAGUCACUAGACUUCUGGAGAGGGGGGCCGACAUCAACACAGCGAAUGUCGACGGUCUGACAGCCCUCCAUCAGGCGUGUAUCGAUGACAACCUGGAAAUGGUGGAGUUCCUUGUUGAGAAGGUGGCAGAUGUGGAUGUCUGUGACAAUGAAGGCUGGACACCGCUACAUGCAACAGCAUCGUGUGGCUUCACAGAAAUUGCAAGGUACCUGAUCAAGAUGGGGGCUAACAUUGCAGCAGUCAACAAUGAUGGGGACCUUCCCAUAGACAUCUGUGAAGACGAGGAGAUGGAGAAUCUACUACAGGCAGAACUAGACAAACAAGGUAUUGAUGCAGACGAGGCAAGAAAGGAAGAAGAGAACCGGAUGUUAGCCGACGCCAACCAGUGGCUCAACAGUCGCAUCAUCAAAGAGAAGAAACAUGCCAAGACUGGUGCCACAGCUCUCCAUGUGGCUGCUGCCAAGGGAUAUGUAACAGUUCUCAAGGUUCUACUACAGGCGGGUGUAGACAUCAAUGCGGAAGACAAUGACGGGUGGACGCCGCUGCAUGCUGCCGCCCACUGGGCGCAGUGUGAGGCGUGCCAGUUGCUAGUGGAACAGCUCUGUGACAUGGAGAAGAAGAACACAGCAGGUCAGUCUGCUUUGGAUGUAGCUGAUGAGGACAUGAAGAAAUUCCUGGAAGAUCUGAAGAAGAAGCAGGUUCUGUUGCGAUCGAGAGCUGAGGAAAUGAAUGAAGACAUUAUACAGACGAAGGGGCCGCCAAAUAAACGAAGGAGUUCUGUGACGCGUAUGAGUGGAGAUCAAAAGCAGAACGUUCUACACAAAACCUCCGAACAAGAACGUGUGGCGCUUGAGACCAACAAGAUCAUCAAGCGUGACAGUGACAAGAUUGAUAGUUCCGGUAGUGAAGGAGAGGGCAGCACAGAAACAGAACGACAGAAUGAGAUCAACAAGCAGACCUCCCAGACAGACAAGCCUCAGGAGCGAGACCAAACUCCGACUCGUACGGAGGUCGAUAAGAUGCCAAUAAUAGAUGAGGUCUCCGAAACAGAGAAAAUCCAAGAAAAGGAAAAUGUACCAGAAAAGGAUAUAAGUCCGGACAAAGAAAAUAUCCCAGAAACAGAAAACAUAGUGGAAGCAGAAAAAACUGAAACAGAAACACCUUCAGAAGCAGAAAAAUCUUUAGAUACAGAAAAACCUUCAGAUACGGAAGAACCUUCAGAAACGGAAAAACGUUCAGAUACGGAAGAACUUUCACAAAUGGAAAAACCUUCAGAAACAGAAGAACUUUCACAAACGGAAAAACUUUCAGAAAAAGAAAAACCUUCAGAUACAGAAAAACCUUCAGAUACAGAAAAACCUUCAGAAACGGAAAAACUUUCAGAAAAAGAAAUACCUUCAGAUACAGAAAUACCUUCAGAUACAGAAAAUACUUUGGAAACAGAAAAUACUUCGGAAACAGAAACAGAAACAAUCACAGAAAGUGAAAUCAUUCUCCCUGCAACAGAUGAAACCGUAACUGUUAGCAAUGGAGAGUCUGUUGAGAAUAGCACAGAAGAAGAAACACCCAAUUCCGUUAAAGACAGCAAUAAGUCUGUAAAGGAUUCCUCUAACUCUACAAUUAAGGAUACCUCCAUAGUUCCUCCCCCCAAAGAACUUAUUUCAAGGUCAAUCAGUGCACCGUCCAGCCUUCCAACUGAUGAAGAGGGCUUGAAAAUUUCGACCAAUCACAAGUCCCGAGACAAUGACUACUCUGCUUGGAGAGCAGGCCUUCGGAAGACCGGCAGUACUAGCAUGGUGCAUGAAAGAAUGAGCAAGGAAAAUGAAGAUGAUAGGUCGUUACCUAGAUCUGCGUCUAGUCCAAGACUAGCUUUUGAUCAAAGGAUAGAGGACGAUCGUAAUGGUACUCGAAGAUCUUCACAAGGCACUACAGCCGUGUCAUCACCAGACAAGGGAGAUUCUAAAGUAACUGAUAGGCAUAGUCAUACAGGCAGUAUGGACCAGAGUAGGUCCCCCUACCGCAGUCUUUCCUCCUAUAACUCCUCUGGCUUCACGUACCAUUCUCAGUACGAGCCGUAUUAUCGCAGGAUGAACGAUCGUACGAGUCGCAGGGAUGGCCAAGAUUAUCAGGAUAGAAUUAUUUCCAGAACACCGUCCAUUGUGUCCACGGUCACGACAACAACUGGACCUGUUUCCACGACAACGGUUAGCACGACGUCUGUAUCAUCAGCAACCACAACUGUCACUUCACCAACGACCCCCACUAGUACCAAUUCAGUAUUCAGAAGGUCUUACGAACCUCCCAAACGUGAUGAAGAAACAGAAACUCAAAGGAAAGCCAGGGCCAAGCGAGCCAGAGAAACAAGACGAUCAACGCAGGGUGUCUCUUUGGAAGACAUUGAAAAGGCAGAGGAAACACUACGAAACUCCUCAACAGACAAAGACCGAGAAAAACUUCGCUUAUCACAAAAGGAUGUGACGGACAGUGCCUCUACCGAGAGUAGAGACGUGCCUAGAGACUCAGGCAGAGACUCAAAUAGAACUAGUUCUAGUUUGUCUUCCAAAGACACUUCCUCUGAGGAUACUUCGUAUCGACGGAGAAACUUGGAAGAUCGUCACGAAGAUGAUACUAGGAGCAGUUUUCGAAGGUCUCGAGAUCAACCCAGAGAUUUAUCAAGUUCCAGUAGUCAAUAUUCUUCAGAUAACUCUACAUCAGCUUACAUACCUCGCAGUCAGCGCAACGCCCUAUCAACGUCUGACACCAACACUACAACUAGUCUAACAGGCAGUUCCGGUCUAGCACGCACAUCCUCUUAUCGAAGUCGGUUACGUAACGGAGAAGUUUCCUCUCGAGAGGAAGAACAGAAGACUGCCAAGGAAGAACCCAAGAAAGAUGAAAGUAAGAAAGCAGAUCACGAAGAGAAGAAGGAAAGCUCAGCCUUACAGAAGCGGAGGGCGUGGAGAGAAAGGCGCUCCACCGGCAUCGUUACCUACACACCUGAUGAUGAAGAGGAUGAGAAGGGUAAAGAAAAUAAGCCAGAAGAAGAGAAGAAGGAUGAGUAUGGUGUACAUGGUCUGCUAGAUCCAUCCAGAUAUCUACAUUCGACACUAGGAUCCCGGUAUGGUUCAUCUCGCUACAGUUCCUCCACGGACAUGACCCCCACGGAUCGGUACAGGGACAGGCCCAGCUCCUACUCCGAGUACUCCCGGUCAACGCCUUCAGCUUUAGACAGCGAUUACAAGAAGCUGUAUGAAGAUGAAAAGUCUGAGAAUGAGAGGUUACGGAGAGAGCUAGAACAGACGAAGCGAGAGCUUCGGGAUGCAAAGACAGAGUUGGACAAAAUGAUGAGAAAACACACUGACGCUGCACGCGCACAGCUGAGACCAACGACAAGAGGGAAAAGAGAGCAUUGGAGAGAAAAGUGUCAGAGUUGGAGGAAGAACUCAAGCUUAUGGACAAACUAAAAGCUGAUAAUGCAAAACUUAAGGAUGAAAAUAGGGCCUUGACGCGAGUCGUUUCCAAACUGUCCAAAUAGAAAAUGGACAGCCUUAAGAACGAUAACCUUCGCCUCCGAGAGGAAAACGGAGCCUUAAUCCGUGUCAUAAGCAAACUAUCAAAAUAGUGCUGUU
This 3814-nucleotide unclassified non-coding RNA is filed under the name Haliotis rubra (blacklip abalone). Its description in RNAcentral is "protein phosphatase 1 regulatory subunit 12A-like, transcript variant X4". Lineage: Eukaryota; Metazoa; Mollusca; Gastropoda; Lepetellida; Haliotidae. The record is from RNAcentral.